AGAGUUUGAUCCUGGCUCAGGAUGAACGCUGGCGGCGUGCUUAACACAUGCAAGUCGAACGAUGAAGCCAGCUUGCUGGUGGAUUAGUGGCGAACGGGUGAGUAACACGUGAGUAACCUGCCCUUGACUCUGGGAUAAGCCUGGGAAACUGGGUCUAAUACCGGAUAUGACCUUCCAUCGCAUGGUGGUUGGUGGAAAGCUUUUGUGGUUUUGGAUGGACUCGCGGCCUAUCAGCUUGUUGGUGGGGUAAUGGCCUACCAAGGCGACGACGGGUAGCCGGCCUGAGAGGGUGACCGGCCACACUGGGACUGAGACACGGCCCAGACUCCUACGGGAGGCAGCAGUGGGGAAUAUUGCACAAUGGGCGCAAGCCUGAUGCAGCGACGCCGCGUGAGGGAUGACGGCCUUCGGGUUGUAAACCUCUUUCAGUAGGGAAGAAGCGUAAGUGACGGUACCUGCAGAAGAAGCGCCGGCUAACUACGUGCCAGCAGCCGCGGUAAUACGUAGGGCGCAAGCGUUAUCCGGAAUUAUUGGGCGUAAAGAGCUCGUAGGCGGUUUGUCGCGUCUGCCGUGAAAGUCCGGGGCUCAACUCCGGAUCUGCGGUGGGUACGGGCAGACUAGAGUGAUGUAGGGGAGACUGGAAUUCCUGGUGUAGCGGUGAA
RNAcentral lists this ribosomal RNA (662 nucleotides) under Arthrobacter sp. C-45. Its description in RNAcentral is "bacterial SSU rRNA". It matches the Rfam family "Bacterial small subunit ribosomal RNA", at positions 8 to 685 of the family's 1533-position model. The record is from RNAcentral. Lineage: Bacteria; Bacillati; Actinomycetota; Actinomycetes; Micrococcales; Micrococcaceae.